RNAcentral lists this ribosomal RNA (389 nucleotides) under uncultured Methanosaeta sp. RNAcentral describes it as "bacterial SSU rRNA". It matches the Rfam family "Archaeal small subunit ribosomal RNA", at positions 950 to 1338 of the family's 1478-position model. The record is from RNAcentral. Lineage: Archaea; Methanobacteriati; Methanobacteriota; Methanomicrobia; Methanotrichales; Methanotrichaceae.
GAGGUCAGGCUGAAGACCUUACCCGAUUAGCUGAGAGGUGGUGCAUGGCCGUCGUCAGUUCGUACUGUGAAGCAUCCUGUUAAGUCAGGCAACGAGCGAGACCACGUCCACAGUUGCCAGCAUACCCUCCGGGGUGAUGGGUACACUGUGGAGACCGCCGCUGCUAAAGCGGAGGAAGGAGUGGGCAACGGUAGGUCAGUAUGCCCCGAAUCUCCCGGGCUACACGCGGGCUACAAUGGCCGGCACAACGGGAAGCGAGUUCGCGAGGACGAGCGGAUCCCUCAAAGCCGGUCGCAGUUCGGAUUGAAGUCUGCAACUCGACUUCAUGAAGCUGGAAUCGCUAGUAAUCGUGGAUCAGCCAAGCCGCGGUGAAUACGUUCCCGGGCCUU